RNAcentral lists this ribosomal RNA (567 nucleotides) under [Wickerhamomyces] edaphicus (nom. inval.). RNAcentral describes it as "eukaryotic LSU rRNA". It matches the Rfam family "Eukaryotic large subunit ribosomal RNA", at positions 62 to 648 of the family's 3401-position model. The record is from RNAcentral. Lineage: Eukaryota; Fungi; Ascomycota; Saccharomycetes; Phaffomycetales; Wickerhamomycetaceae.
AAACCAACAGGGAUUGCCUCAGUAACGGCGAGUGAAGCGGCAAAAGCUCAAAUUUGAAAUCUAGCACCUUCGGUGUUCGAGUUGUAAUUUGAAGAUGGCAACCUUGGGUUUGGCUCUUGUCUAUGUUCCUUGGAACAGGACGUCAUAGAGGGUGAGAAUCCCGUCUGAUGAGAUGCCCAUUCCUUUGUAAGGUGCUAUCGAAGAGUCGAGUUGUUUGGGAAUGCAGCUCUAAGUGGGUGGUAAAUUCCAUCUAAAGCUAAAUAUUGGCGAGAGACCGAUAGCGAACAAGUACAGUGAUGGAAAGAUGAAAAGAACUUUGAAAAGAGAGUGAAAAAGUACGUGAAAUUGUUGAAAGGGAAGGGCAUUAGAUCAGACUUGGUGUUUUACGAUUAUCUUCUCUUCUUGAGUUGUGCACUCGUAUUUCACUGGGCCAGCAUCGAUUCGGAUGGUAAGAUAAGAACAGUUGAAUGUGGCUCUUCGGAGUGUUAUAGCUUCUGUUGAUAUUGCCUGUCUGGAUCGAGGGCUGCGUCUUUUGACUAGGAUGCUGGCGUAAUGAUCUAAUGCCGC